CUUCUCGAGGGGACUCUGCUGCGAAAGUACAAUUCCGGCCCUUUUUAAAUCCCAGGUAUGGGGAUAUCUCCUCGUUUCAAUGUCCUUUUAUUAUUUUUGUAAUUUAUAUGGCUGAAUUUUAUAUUAGAUUUACAGAGAUUGUUUUCACAUGCGAAUUGUGCAUAUGCCUCUGAAUUAUGGUAAAUUAUAUGUGACUUGAGAAGAGCUUUUGAAGCCCCUUCCGAGGCUUUGCUUUCGUCUAUGGCCUGUGCCUCAGAUGGGUAUUAUUUAUUUUUUGUGUUCGAAAAAUCGGAAGAGCGCCUGCCUAGGCGGCCUGGGCAGUUAUGGGCUGGUCGGGUCCUUUUUUUUUCCUGACUCUACUGAAAACCUACCUCACGCUGCCUCUCUCUCUCUCUCUCUCUCUCUCUCUCUCUCUCUGUGGCACGACAGACCACCACCACCAGGCCUCGACCAGCGACCCGCUCGGCCACCCGCGACCUGCGUCCUCCUCGCCCAUGUUUUAGAGGCCUAGCCUUUCAUUUCAAGUAUUUUUCUUUGUAGUUUAUUUUCUUGAAUUGUUAUUGCAUUUUGAGUCGGGGGUUCAUUUUGGUUUUCUGCUUUUUGCAUUUGGGGUGUUUCAUGUAUUAUCUUCUCAACAUAAAGUUAGAAACUUGCAUCAUUAAUUUUAGGGGCAAUAUAGAUAAUCUCUUUUAAUCCUUUUACUCAAGCAAGUGAUCAACAACAAUAUCAACUCGGUAGUAAUUGUAAAAAGGUUUUUAUUUUAUGUUUGGACUGCAAAGUUAACUUGAUGAUUCAAAGGUUUUUGACAUUUGUUUUCUGCCCUUCUUACAGUGGUGCUUUGAUGUUGACAGUUGGACACUUAACAGGAAAAUAACAAGGUCUCUAGCUGUCUUGUAAUAUAGAAUUCUUGUUCAUCUUCUUAUUUAUUUUCGAUGUUUUCCCCAUUUUUUGAAAGUUCAUAUUAAAUACCUCCUUGUGUUCUUGUGUUUUUGUUUUGACUUCAAGGAAGUCUAC
RNAcentral lists this long non-coding RNA (1014 nucleotides) under Prunus dulcis (almond). RNAcentral describes it as "sRNA ncRNA". Lineage: Eukaryota; Viridiplantae; Streptophyta; Magnoliopsida; Rosales; Rosaceae. The record is from RNAcentral.